This is a non-coding RNA of Salmo salar (Atlantic salmon), 5170 nucleotides long. The record is from RefSeq and is a predicted model, not a curated record. NCBI's taxonomy places the organism in Eukaryota, Metazoa, Chordata, Actinopteri, Salmoniformes, Salmonidae.
UGAGCGUUCUUGACGCACCCAAGCUAACGUUGGCUAGCUACUUCCAGACACAAAUGAGACCACUCUGACCAUUUUACUCGCCCUAUCAGAGCUGGUAAGGUAGUGUUCGUGUUAACCAUAGCGUAAAUGUAAUGCUGGAAAAAAAAUGAUUAUGCUUUUUCCCCCCGAGUUUACUGACACGGCCAUAUUCAAAGAGUGUUGAGCGCUCAUAAAUUAAUUAUUUUGCGCUUUGAUACACUCAGACUAGAGUGCUCUGAAAUUUGUGUAGAUAUUAGGCUGGACACAUUACAUUUGUAACGUUCUUUUCGGAUAAAAAUAUGUUCAUUCCAUCCGCCGUGGAGCCCAGUUUCAUACUAUCACCAUAUUUCCCAGCUGCUUGCUGUCGUUUUGAAGUAAUCGCGAAAAAACAGGCCUUAUUUUCAUGCAUUUUUCCCCCUGCCAGCUCCUAUUAGUUGUAUUGGGCACCGUGGCACCAACUCGCCUUCUGGACGUUCUAUUCCUAGCUUAUUGUUCAACGUCACAAUGCCUGCGUCACUAUUGUUGGCAAUGAGACCUGCUCAGUUGUUUAUUAGUUAAAAUGUAAACAACAAAAUGUAAAUAACAAAAAUAAUAUUGGAACUCUGCGGUCUUCCCAUUGUUUCCUAUGGGGGAAAUAUGGGCAUGUCUGUCUAUUUCUCCAAAUAUCUCGCAAUGUUUAUAUUUAGUAUUUUUUUCAAGUCGGUGUGAAAUGACAAGCUAGUUAGUGGGGUGCGCACUAAUAGUGGUUCAAUCGGUGACGUCACUGAGAGCUGGGGCUUUUGUGGAGCGAUGGGUAACGAUGCUUCGAGGGUGGCUGUUGUCUAUGUGUGCAGAGGGUCUCUGGUUCGAGGCGAGGAGAGGGACGGAAGCAAAACUGUUACACGGGCACCAUUUUAAUCAGGAGUUUCCCCUCGUUGUAAUUAUGUAAGUCUGACCAGCGAGCUCGUUUGUCAUCGCUCGCUAGACCAGAAAUGGUCCGAAGUUAUACUUUUUUCCCGUACUUUUUCUUUAUGCAGACAUAAGCACAGUUGACACCAUCGAGGUGCGGAUGUUUACUUUCUACACAAGUUUUUUUUUUUUUCCAGUUUCGUCCGACGAAGAUUGUAGUGGUAAAAUUAAAAGGUCCGCAGUAGAGGUGGACAGCGACACAUCAUCACAGUUGGGGUCAAAGACAUCUCCUCCCCCAGCGAGCAGAACCAGACGACAGAAGAUGUUGGCACCAGAGAGGAGAGGCGGGACACGCGCUCUGGCAGCCAUGUUGUGUGGAUCUAAAAGACGUAGAAGAAGAAGGAAGAGAAGCUGAAGACCCAGAAGCAACAAACUGCUCAACUAACUUUCUACCAAGGCCAGCGGCCAGCCAAAGCAGGGGCUGGGAAGGGUCAUGGGGGUAAGACUAAGCCGGGAAAUAGUUUCACGUAUGGGCAAUCCAGAAAUAUCUCAGCUCCAUAUCCUCAAGCAUUUCAGACUGGAGUUCAGACGGGUGGAAGAGGUCGAGGCAGGGGUGGACCAAGAGGCGGCGAGGACAUGGGCCAACAGGAGCUCCAGGACUGUGGCAUCCCCCUGCCUAUCAGCCUCCACCCCAAUGGGGGCCCUCAGGGAAGAGGCCAGCCUGGGCAAUGGCAGACGGGGCAUCGGCACAGAUGACCUUGUACAAUCCAGGUCCAGGCCAGGACAGGAGGAGGAAUAUUGACAUGAAUGCGAGACAGGGACAGUUGUGUUAGAAUCGUCAGAGCAACCAGAGCAUUUGUUUUUAAAAAGUCACACCCUUCCUCGAAUUGAGCCAACAGUGGAGGCUUGCGUCAAUGGUGAGUCAAUGAUUUUUCUUGCUGAUACUGGGGCUGCAAUGUCUGUGAUGAACUGUAAGACUAUGAAAAAACAUCCCAUGUCUAGUGAAACAGUCAAGACUGUUGGGGCAUUGGGUCUCCCCUUCAGGGAACACGUAACAAUGCCCUUGCCAGUCUCCUUUUGUGAGGAGAAAUGUCAGCAUCAAUUCCUCUUCUCUGAUCACUGCCCUUUCAAUCUAAUGGGCAGAAACAUCCUAUGUAAGCUGGGAAUUAACAUAACGUGUGGGCCCACUAGGCUGACAGUAAUACAUGAGGAGGAGGAGGAGCAAUUGAUGUUGAUGUCUGAGUUCUGUGACUGGUAUUAUGCGUAGAACGUUAACAAUGAGGUGCCCAAUAUUGCUCGUCUUUUCUCAAUGGCCAAAACCAAUUGGGGCCACAAGGGCAGUUUCAUGUCUGAGACAGGCUUACAUUGCAUUUCCAAUUUCUCACCAUUGACAAGAGAUUUACACUAUGAGAAGGAAUGGUUCUCCAAGAGUAUAGGUGAAGAGUCAGUGCUGUUUGAGGGCUUGUACUGUAGCAGCAAUGUCUGUGCUUUAGGGGUUAAUUUAACCCCUGCACAGAAGGAGCUCUACUUGUUCGAAGACAGUGCUCCUCAUGUGUCCCUUGCUAAAUCACACAGAGUUGAGUGGACGGAUGCUGGAUGAAGGGGCUGGGGAAUGCUGUUGAUUGGGAAAUGCAUCCAGAUGGGUCAACCUAUUCACCCAGCACAUUAACGCUUUGGGAUACGCCCGUUGACAGGGGUGUGCAUGGACUUCAUCUCAUCAGCCCUCAUUUGUCAGCAACAUCAUGCUUUUGAAUGAGGACUCACCCCUCUUGAGAGGGGUCCCCGAUUGCCUAUGGGCAAGGGACAAGUAUGAUUUUGGUCGAAUGAAAGGGGCUGAGCCACUUGUGGUGACUGCUAAAGACACCAGGCACCCCUCCAGAGCACAGUAUCCACUCAGUAAAGAAGAUAUUGCUGGUAUUACCCAGGUACAUGCUUCUUUGCUAGAGCAUGGAGGGUUAGUCCUGUGUCCAGAGUCACCUUGUAAUACCCCUAUCUUGCCUGUAAGAAAAGCCUCAGGGGAAUGGUGUUUUGUUCAAGAUUUAAGGCCAGUUAAUGAUGCUGUCUUUGCCCAUGCCCCUGUGGUUCCCAAUCCAACUACGUUGUUAUCUGCAGUCCCAGCCGCAGCUAAUUGGUGUUCUGUUAUUGAUCUGGCUAAUGUGUUUUUUAGCAUUCCCGUUGAACCAGAGUCACAGUUCUGGUUUGCUUUCACGUUCCUCGGAAAGAGUUACACUGAGUCCCCGGCAAUUUCUUCAGCUGCACUAGCACAACAUUUGAAGGGCUUCAUUACCCCGGAGGGGAGCACUCUAAUAAAGUACUUUGAUGACUUGUUAUUGUGCUCUGAAACUCUUGAGGCGGGUGAAACUGAUACUCAAGCUCUUUUGACCUUUCUGGCAGAGAACUGCCAAAAAGUAUCAAAAAAUAAGUUGCAACUUGUCUCCCAAACUGUAAAGUAUUUGGGGGUGAUAUCACCCCCAAUGGCAGGCAGCUGGGUCCAGAGAGAGUGCAAACUAUCCUGUCUGUCCCACAGCCUGUUACCAGACACCACAUUAUGUCACUGACUGGUAUGGCAGGGUACAGUAGGGUGUGGCUGCCUGACUAUGCUCAUUGAGGGUGAAAGUGUUUGCUUUCACAUCCUCCUCAGAUACCACUCACAGUCUUUUUGACCUCAGUCACCUGGGGCCCAGAGAGGUGAGAAGUCAGGCUUGUUCAUCACAUGUCCCUGUUGCUGUGGAGAGUAGCUGAAAGAGAACAUGGCAAAAUAGGUCAGAAGGGAACAUUGUUUCUAUAUGUGAAUGUGUAUCUAAUAUGAACCAAGGGAUGGCGUGAUUGUAGGAACCAAUAACAUUCUUUCACAGUUUCUCUGUCAGCACUCCUCCACCCUCUGGCCCAGGGGGAGGGAUUAAGUCCCUUUUGGUCCACUUAGCAAGGUGGAGACUAGUAACAAUAUAUGUCCUUUUAUGUUCUUAGUACUGAACAAAACAACAAGUUAUUUAUACUGGAGGCCAAGUGCUGUCACAGGAUGUGUGGGGUUAGUGGUUGGAACAACACGUCCCCCUGGAGGUUACACCCAUCUUUGUUCUGAUAGUGAGCCUCUGAUAACCCAGAAGCUCACGCCACUCAGUGAGGUCUCACUCUAUUCACGUUGUAUGUGUAUUGUGACUUGCUCCCUUAUCAAUACAUUUUUAAUAAAGUAACAAUCCUGAUUGGUGGUUGACCUUGUCUCUCCACAUUAUUGAUUAUAAUAUCAACGACACAGUCAGGGAGACUGCUGAGAUAGAAUCAGGGUCAGAGGUCAGCUUUGGGUACAAUUUCCUAAAUCUGUAACGAUACAAUUUCCUGAAUACAAUUUCCUGAAUACAAUUUCCUAAAUCUCUGACGAAACUGAAACAUCUCAUGACUACUUCUCCAUGUCUGGAGAUCCCUGACCAUUCUAAACCCUUUCACCUGCUUGUGUAUGAAAAAAGGGGUUGUAUUUCGUUUGUGUUGACACAGGACCAUGGGGGGAAUCAGAGAUCAUUCUGAGCAAUUAGAUAGUGUUGCUAAAGGCCUAGUGUGCUGUUUUGUGCUGACAUUGUUGCAAUGUGUCAACUAACUGUGCAUGUGCCUCACACUGUUCAUGCUCUCAUCUUACAGGCUAAGACUGCUCAUCUGACUCCAGCAAGGCUGCUCCUCUAUCAGUAUGUGCUUCUUAAUAUGUCUCAUGUGACCCUGAAAAGAGCUUGUAUCAAAACCAAGGCAAUGCAAUGGUUGAUCUAGCAGGAAAAACAGCAGCUGUGUGCUGCUGAUUCUCCUGUGUUGCAGAUGGUUUUACUGGACCGUUCCAGGUGUUGCUGACAACCCUCACCGCUGUCUGAGUAGCUAUAGAGGUCUACGUGGCUCCACGCCAGCCACUGCAGGAAUGUUCCAUACCACCAGGGGGAUGAUGGACUUCAGGAUGGCACAGGGUAGUCGUCGAGGGACUAGAUGGCCAGGGGAGAGCCAAGCUGAGACUCUGCACAUCAUGGUGUUUGCCUUUGUUCUUAUCGCUCUCGUUACAGUUGCCAUAUGGACGGUGGUGACUGAAGAGGUGCCAAACAAUGAACUGAAUGGAAAGGCUGGACUGUACAAGAUGUGGACCCAGUGGACUGUACCAGAUGCCAGAGAGAUAGAUGACUGUCCUAUUUGAUGUGAUGAGGCGUGUGUCUAGCAAUCUGUAUUUUUUGUUUCUGAUUUCUAUUUUUUCAAAUUGUGAUAAUGUCCUGAGGAAUAAAGGGUGUAAACUCAG